UACGUAGGGGGCAAGCGUUGUCCGGAUUUAUUGGGCGUAAAGAGCGUGUAGGCGGCUAGGUAGGUCCGUUGUGAAAACUCGAGGCUCAACCUCGAGACGCCGAUGGAAACCAUCUGGCUAGAGUCCGGAAGAGGAGAGUGGAAUUCCUGGUGUAGCGGUGAAAUGCGCAGAUAUCAGGAAGAACACCCGUGGCUAAGGCGGCUCUCUAGUACGGUACUGACGCUGAGACGCGAAAGCGUGGGGAGUGAACAGG
RNAcentral lists this ribosomal RNA (253 nucleotides) under uncultured bacterium. RNAcentral's name for it is "partial 16S ribosomal RNA". It matches the Rfam family "Bacterial small subunit ribosomal RNA", at positions 524 to 776 of the family's 1533-position model. The record is from RNAcentral.